AAGUCGUAACAAGGUUUCCGUAGGUGAACCUGCGGAAGGAUCAUUAUUGAAUUCUAACUGGGUGAGAUUGCUGCUGGCUCUCGGGCAUGUGCACAUCUCAUUCAUUUACCUCUCACCUCUGUGCACUUUUCACAGGACAGCUGGUGGUUGUAGGCUUCAUUGUCUAUGGCGUACAGGUUGGCUUUGUUGCGCUUUAUAAACUUCAUAAAUCAAGUUACAGAAUGUCUAUUGUGUAUCCACACAUUUCAAAUA
Molecule: unclassified non-coding RNA, 252 nt
Filed under: plant metagenome
Description: partial contains small subunit ribosomal RNA and internal transcribed spacer 1
Rfam family: Eukaryotic small subunit ribosomal RNA (bases 1-46)
Source: RNAcentral